CUAUUUUUGCAGCGUGAAGGUGUUUCUUUCCGUCUGAUGAUCCGGCGGAAAGAGAUGAAAAGGGAAUGCCGUGUAAUCCGGCAACAGUUCUUGCUGCUGUAAAUUCCUGUUCGGAAACGAACAAAACAGUUUUACCAAUAGCCACUGACCGUUUAGGGUUGGGAAGGCGUAAAACCGGAAUGAGUCAGAAAACCUGCCUUGGCAAUCGGAGUCAC
RNAcentral lists this non-coding RNA (215 nucleotides) under Bacteroides reticulotermitis. Lineage: Bacteria; Pseudomonadati; Bacteroidota; Bacteroidia; Bacteroidales; Bacteroidaceae. RNAcentral also lists the same sequence under 1 other name. The record is from RNAcentral.